AGUGAACGCUGGCGGUAGGCCUAACACAUGCAAGUCGAACGGCAGCACAGUAAGAGCUUGCUCUUACGGGUGGCGAGUGGCGGACGGGUGAGGAAUACAUCGGAAUCUACUUUUUCGUGGGGGAUAACGUAGGGAAACUUACGCUAAUACCGCAUACGACCUACGGGUGAAAGCAGGGGAUCUUCGGACCUUGCGCGAUUGAAUGAGCCGAUGUCGGAUUAGCUAGUUGGCGGGGUAAAGGCCCACCAAGGCGACGAUCCGUAGCUGGUCUGAGAGGAUGAUCAGCCACACUGGAACUGAGACACGGUCCAGACUCCUACGGGAGGCAGCAGUGGGGAAUAGUGGACAAUGGGCGCAAGCCUGAUCCAGCGAUACCGAGUGGGUGAAGAAGGCCUUCGGGUUGUAAAGCCCUUUUGUUGGGAAAGAAAAGCAGCAGGUUAAUACCCCGCUGUUCUGACGGUACCCAAAGAAUAAGCACCGGCUAACUUCGUG
Molecule: ribosomal RNA, 492 nt
Filed under: uncultured bacterium
Lineage: Bacteria
Description: partial 16S ribosomal RNA
Rfam family: Bacterial small subunit ribosomal RNA
Source: RNAcentral